This 495-nucleotide ribosomal RNA is filed under the name uncultured bacterium. Its description in RNAcentral is "partial 16S ribosomal RNA". It matches the Rfam family "Bacterial small subunit ribosomal RNA", at positions 28 to 507 of the family's 1533-position model. The record is from RNAcentral.
GACGAACGCUGGCGGCGUGCCUAAUACAUGCAAGUAGAACGCUGAAGGAGGAGCUUGCUCUUCUGGAUGAGUUGCGAACGGGUGAGUAACGCGUAGGUAACCUGCCUGGUAGCGGGGGAUAACUAUUGGAAACGAUAGCUAAUACCGCAUAACAGUAGAUGCUGCAUGACAUUUGCUUAAAAGGUGCAAUUGCAUCACUACCAGAUGGACCUGCGUUGUAUUAGCUAGUUGGUGGGGUAACGGCUCACCAAGGCGACGAUACAUAGCCGACCUGAGAGGGUGAUCGGCCACACUGGGACUGAGACACGGCCCAGACUCCUACGGGAGGCAGCAGUAGGGAAUCUUCGGCAAUGGACGGAAGUCUGACCGAGCAACGCCGCGUGAGUGAAGAAGGUUUUCGGAUCGUAAAGCUCUGUUGUAAGAGAAGAACGAGUGUGAGAGUGGAAAGUUCACACUGUGACGGUAUCUUACCAGAAAGGGACGGCUAACUACGUG